This 253-nucleotide ribosomal RNA is filed under the name uncultured bacterium. Its description in RNAcentral is "partial 16S ribosomal RNA". It matches the Rfam family "Bacterial small subunit ribosomal RNA", at positions 524 to 776 of the family's 1533-position model. The record is from RNAcentral.
UACGUAGGGGGCAAGCGUUGUCCGGAUUUAUUGGGCGUAAAGCGCGCGUAGGCGGCCCUGUAAGUCCGCUGUGAAAGUCAAAGGCUCAACCUUUGAAAGCCGGUGGAUACUGCAGGGCUAGAGUCCGGAAGAGGCGAGUGGAAUUCCUGGUGUAGCGGUGGAAUGCGCAGAUAUCAGGAAGAACACCCGUGGCGAAGGCGGCUCUCUGGGACGGUACUGACGCUGAGACGCGAAAGCGUGGGGAGCGAACAGG